AAUCAACGCUGGCGGCGUGCCUCAGACAUGCAAGUCGAACGAUUAAACUUUCCUUCGGGAAAGAUAUAAAGUGGCGUACGGGUGAGUAACACGUAAGUAAUCUACCUUCGAGUGGGGAAUAACGUUCGGAAACGAACGCUAAUACCGCAUAAUGCAGCGGCAUCAUAUGAUGACAGUUGUUAAAGCAUUUAUGCGCUUGAAGAGGAGCUUGCGGCAGAUUAGCUAGNGGUAAGGUAAUGGCUUACCAAGGCAACGAUCUGUAUCCGGUCUAAGAGGACGGUCGGACACACUGACACUGAAUAACGGGUCAGACUCCUACGGGAGGCAGCAGUCGGGAAUUUUGGGC
This 346-nucleotide ribosomal RNA is filed under the name uncultured bacterium. RNAcentral describes it as "bacterial SSU rRNA". It matches the Rfam family "Bacterial small subunit ribosomal RNA", at positions 32 to 369 of the family's 1533-position model. The record is from RNAcentral.